AUUGAACGCUGGCGGCAUGCCUUACACAUGCAAGUCGAACGGUAACGGGCCUUCGGGUGCCGACGAGUGGCGCACGGGUGAGUAAUACAUCGGAACGUGCCCGAUCGUGGGGGAUAACGAGGCGAAAGCUUUGCUAAUACCGCAUACGAUCUACGGAUGAAAGCAGGGGACCGCAAGGCCUUGCGCGGACGGAGCGGCCGAUGGCAGAUUAGGUAGUUGGUGGGAUAAAAGCUUACCAAGCCGACGAUCUGUAGCUGGUCUGAGAGGAUGAUCAGCCACACUGGGACUGAGACACGGCACAGACUCCUACGGGAGGCAGCAGUGGGGAAUUUUGGACAAUGGGCGCAAGCCUGAUCCAGCCAUGCCGCGUGCAGGAUGAAGGCCUUCGGGUUGUAAACUGCUUUUGUACGGAACGAAAAGCCUUCUUUUAAUACAGGAGGGUCAUGACGGUACCGUAAGAAUAAGCACCGGCUAACUACGUG
RNAcentral lists this ribosomal RNA (482 nucleotides) under uncultured bacterium. RNAcentral describes it as "partial 16S ribosomal RNA". It matches the Rfam family "Bacterial small subunit ribosomal RNA", at positions 30 to 507 of the family's 1533-position model. The record is from RNAcentral.